UACGUAGGGUGCAAGCGUUGUCCGGAAUUAUUGGGCGUAAAGAGCUCGUAGGCGGUCUGUCGCGUCGGCUGUGAAAACUCGGGGCUCAACUCCGAGCUUGCAGUCGAUACGGGCAGGCUAGAGUUCGGCAGGGGAGACUGGAAUUCCUGGUGUAGCGGUGAAAUGCGCAGAUAUCGGGAGGAACACCGGUGGCGAAGGCGGUUCUCUGGGCCUUACCUGACGCUGAGGAGCGAAAGCGUGGGGAGCGAACAGG
RNAcentral lists this ribosomal RNA (253 nucleotides) under uncultured bacterium. RNAcentral's name for it is "partial 16S ribosomal RNA". It matches the Rfam family "Bacterial small subunit ribosomal RNA", at positions 524 to 776 of the family's 1533-position model. The record is from RNAcentral.